UAGGAAGAAAGGCCACUUUGUGUUAGUCAAACAGGCUUUCUUCAGAGCUGUCAGCGGGCUGUGAUGAAAGAACCAUGACACUGACCCUAGACUAAGGUUUGAAUUCCGCCGAGGUCACUCACUACCUCAGUUACCUUGGAUAAUUUACUUGAUUUCUCCCUUUCUAGUUCUUUUUCUGUAAAAUGAGGAAGAGAAUGGUAAAGUCUCCUUUGCAUUACUGUGAGGAUUGCCAAAGGUCUGGAUCACAGUUGGUUCUCCCGUGGGAAUCAUUGCCAUCACCGUCAUUGCCUUGUGUACGGCCUUCACGCGUUUCGCCAGCUUCUGUGUCAUUGGUGACAUCAUAAAAUCAGGGAAAGGGAAAUCUGUAAACACUGGCCGUUGAAGAAUACGGUUUCUGAGAAUUUCCACUCUGAAUUCACAUUCCGUUCAGUGUUAUCGCCACCCUGUGGAUUUCUUGGGUAAUGAAACUCAGACCGGGAAAUGAAAACGGGGAUUUUCAGUAAAUCGGUUCCAGUAAAUCUCUGCUGCUCUUGUGGGCGCCCUCUUUUGAGCACCGGAGGAAUGAGCACCGUUCUUCAUUCUUUUGGUUUUGUAAAGUUGUAGAGCUGCGUUCAUAACUACCUCGCUGGCUUUGAGCACAACCCAGGAAGAAGUUUGAAACCAAGAAAAUGGUGGUUGGGAAGACCAGGAUGCGCAAUGGCAAGUGCUGACAACUCUGGAAUACACAGUAGGCACCCAAUACAUACAAGGGAGUAAAUGAAUGAAUUAAAGCUGUCUGUAUCUGCUGAUCAUCCACAAUUUAGACGUCCUAUACUACAUUCCAAUUGAGGGCAAGCGGGGUACGUGUCCUGAAUUUAUAGAAUCUUUUGACACAAAGCAAGAGAGCCACAGUCAAGACUCAAGUCAAAAGAAAUUUAGACCCCAUCUGGGCAAACAGGCCUCUAAGCAACAAUCUAAGAUUUCCACCUAUUGUUCUGGCAUUCCUUGUAUAAAUGAUUAUGACUGCAGAGAUCUUAGGAAGUGCUGUGGUACCUUUAGAUGUGGCCUGAGGUGCAUACAUCCUCUUAUGAUUGGCCCUGUAUUUUUCAAUUCACCUCCACAAUCCAAGGCAUAAAUAUUGGAUGGAGAAAUGGAUUCAGAUGGAGGCAUCAUUGAGCUUAUUCUUGACUCAUCUCAGUCCAAACAUUACUCUGUCAAUCGUUGUUCUUAAAAUCUGCAUAUUAAAAGCUCAGCAUCAACUAUUUUUGAGCUCUGUGUCUCAUUCAGG
Molecule: long non-coding RNA, 1267 nt
Filed under: Homo sapiens (human)
Lineage: Eukaryota; Metazoa; Chordata; Mammalia; Primates; Hominidae
Description: HSALNT0366751
Source: RNAcentral